GCGUUGAUAGCUCAGCAGGAUAGAGCAUCAGCUUCCGAAGCUGAAGGUCGUGGGUUCGACUCCCACUCAGCGCA
RNAcentral lists this transfer RNA (74 nucleotides) under bacterium. RNAcentral describes it as "tRNA-Arg". It matches the Rfam family "tRNA". From Rfam's summary of the family: Transfer RNA (tRNA) molecules are approximately 80 nucleotides in length. Their secondary structure includes four short double-helical elements and three loops (D, anti-codon, and T loops). The record is from RNAcentral.